RNAcentral lists this long non-coding RNA (504 nucleotides) under Sorghum bicolor (sorghum). RNAcentral's name for it is "long non-coding RNA (SBIC_LNC016973)". The record is from RNAcentral. Lineage: Eukaryota; Viridiplantae; Streptophyta; Magnoliopsida; Poales; Poaceae.
GGGCGUGAAGAAGAAAACGACGCGGCCUCGGGUGUUUUGUCCCAAUACCUCGGCGCCAGGAUCUGUGGCGCCGACACUUUUUUUUUUUUUUUGCCACACAAGCCGCCACGCAGAAUCCACGCUGGCUUGCCCCAGGGACCUCGGCGCCGUGAUCCAUGGCGUCGAGGCGUGAUACCUCGGCGCCAUGACUCAUGGCGCCGACCCCCUGGGUCCAUUUCUGCAUUUAAGUUUUCCAGGGGUCCAAUUGUGAAAUUUUUUGAAAAAAAGAGCCAAAUUGUAAAAAAUUGGGCCGACUCCGAUUCCUGCGUCGCAUUGCUUCCUCCGAAGUAGCGAAGUCGGGCCUUGUUUAGUUCUUUUGGAACUGUAGCACUUUCGUUUUUAUUUGACAAACAUUAUCCAAUUAUAAAGUAAUUAGGCUUAAAAGAUUCAUCUCGUGAUUUACAGGUAAACUGUGCAAUUAGUUUUUAUUUUCGUCUAUAUUUAAUACUUUAUGUAUGUGGUGUA